CCUACGGGGGGCAGCAGUGGGGAAUAUUGGACAAUGGGCGAAAGCCUGAUCCAGCCAUGCCGCGUGUGUGAAGAAGGCCUUCGGGUUGUAAAGCACUUUCAGUGGGGAAGAAAGCCUUGGGGCUAAUACCCUCGAGGAAGGACAUCACCCACAGAAGAAGCACCGGCUAACUCCGUGCCAGCAGCCGCGGUAAUACGGAGGGUGCGAGCGUGAAUCGGAAUUACUGGGCGUAAAGCGCGCGUAGGCGGUCUGAUAAGCCGGUUGUGAAAGCCCCGGGCUCAACCUGGGAACGGCAUCCGGAACUGUCAGGCUAGAGUGCAGGAGAGGAAGGUAGAAUUCCCGGUGUAGCGGUGAAAUGCGUAGAGAUCGGGAGGAAUACCAGAGGCGAAGGCGGCCUUCUGGACUGACACUGACGCUGAGGUGCGAAAGCGUGGGUAGCAAACAGGAUUAGAUACCCUGGUAGUC
This 465-nucleotide ribosomal RNA is filed under the name Vreelandella stevensii. RNAcentral's name for it is "partial 16S ribosomal RNA". It matches the Rfam family "Bacterial small subunit ribosomal RNA", at positions 338 to 795 of the family's 1533-position model. Lineage: Bacteria; Pseudomonadati; Pseudomonadota; Gammaproteobacteria; Oceanospirillales; Halomonadaceae. The record is from RNAcentral.